Molecule: transfer RNA, 73 nt
Filed under: Paramuricea clavata
Lineage: Eukaryota; Metazoa; Cnidaria; Anthozoa; Malacalcyonacea; Plexauridae
Rfam family: tRNA
About the family: Transfer RNA (tRNA) molecules are approximately 80 nucleotides in length. Their secondary structure includes four short double-helical elements and three loops (D, anti-codon, and T loops). Further hydrogen bonds mediate the characteristic L-shaped molecular structure. tRNAs have two regions of fundamental functional importance: the anti-codon, which is responsible for specific mRNA codon recognition, and the 3' end, to which the tRNAs corresponding amino acid is attached (by aminoacyl-tRNA synthetases). tRNAs cope with the degeneracy of the genetic code in two manners: having more than one tRNA (with a specific anti-codon) for a particular amino acid; and 'wobble' base-pairing, i.e. permitting non-standard base-pairing at the 3rd anti-codon position.
Source: Rfam by way of RNAcentral
GCCUCUGUAACUCGGUUGGUUAGAGCGCUGCACCGGAAUCGCAGGGCCGCAGGUUGGAUUCCUGCCAGGGACC